UACGUAGGGGCUAGCGUUGUCCGGAAUCAUUGGGCGUAAAGGGUUCGUAGGCGGUAAUACAUGUCAGAUGUGAAAUCUUGUGGCUUAACCACAUCAAGCAUCUGAAACUGUAUAACUUGAGUGAAGGAGAGGUAAGUGGAAUUCCUAGUGUAGCGGUGAAAUGCGUAGAUAUUAGGAAGAAUACCAGUAGCGAAGGCGACUUACUGGCCUUUAACUGACGCUGAGGAACGAAAGCGUGGGUAGCAAACAGGAUUAGAUACCCUGGUAGU
This 269-nucleotide ribosomal RNA is filed under the name uncultured prokaryote. Its description in RNAcentral is "partial 16S ribosomal RNA". It matches the Rfam family "Bacterial small subunit ribosomal RNA", at positions 524 to 794 of the family's 1533-position model. The record is from RNAcentral.